UACAGAGGUCUCAAGCGUUGUUCGGAUUCAUUGGGCGUAAAGGGUGCGUAGGCGGCGCGGUAAGUCGGGGGUGAAAUCUCGGAGCUUAACUCCGAAACUGCAUUCGAUACUGUCGUGCUUGAGGACUGGAGAGGAGACUGGAAUUUACGGUGUAGCGGUGAAAUGCGUAGAUAUCGUAAGGAAGACCAGUGGCGAAGGCGGGUCUCUGGACAGUUCCUGACGCUGAGGCACGAAGGUCAGGGGAGCAAACGGG
This 253-nucleotide ribosomal RNA is filed under the name uncultured bacterium. RNAcentral's name for it is "partial 16S ribosomal RNA". It matches the Rfam family "Bacterial small subunit ribosomal RNA", at positions 524 to 776 of the family's 1533-position model. The record is from RNAcentral.